Molecule: non-coding RNA, 199 nt
Organism: Oryza barthii
Lineage: Eukaryota; Viridiplantae; Streptophyta; Magnoliopsida; Poales; Poaceae
Source: Rfam
UUUAAGUAUAGUUAUGGGUUUUCGUGUUCAACCUUUGACCGCUCGUUAUAUUUUAUUUUUUUAAUAAUUAUUUUUUUAUUAGAUGAUAAAAUAUGAACAAUACUUUAUGCAUGAUUUAUUUUUUUAAGUUUUUUUUUAAAUUAUUUAAAUAAGACAAACGGUUAAACGUUCGAAACAGAAACCCGUACCUACAAUUAAA